Molecule: long non-coding RNA, 841 nt
Organism: Syzygium oleosum
Lineage: Eukaryota; Viridiplantae; Streptophyta; Magnoliopsida; Myrtales; Myrtaceae
Exons: 2
Source: RefSeq, a predicted model, not a curated record
GAGUAAGUGAUGUUUAUAUCUUUAUAUAUUGUAAUUCCUUUUAUAUAUCUAAUAAGUGAAUAUUUUAUUAAUCUCUUAUUUUUUUUUUAGAUAUGGAUUGUCUUAAUGAGGAGAUUAUCGUCGGUAAAUAAAGUUUACGAGUUGAAGCGGAAUGGAUCAAUGAAUACAUGUAGUGAGGCUUUCUAAUACUUAUUUUCUAGAGAGUUGUUGUUCUUGUUAAAUUUUGUUUAUUUUGUGAAGGGCAGGAAAAAUGAUUCAGCAAUAUGGAGAAUUUGCCCAUCUUUCAUGCGAGAAAAAAAGAUUGGGAAAUGGAGGAUGCUAAUUUGUGAUGUUGCAUUGUUGCUACGAUGCACCCUUUUGAUAUCUGGAUGAUUCUGUCACUGAUUUGCUGCUUGUUUGGAGGCUAGUAUAUGUUGUGAAGAGCUGCAGUUUAUAUAUAUUCAGAAGUUGAACAUUCUAUGUUCUUUCAUUCGGAUAUGAUAAUAUCUUACUGCAUAAAGACCACUAGUAAAAGUUCAAGUGCUCUUGGCUAAUAUGUUCUCAUAUUGUUUGCUUGGCAGGAAAAGAGCAACUCCAAUGGGUACCAUGCAUUUGCUCCUCGGCGAACAACAAUUAUGUCUAAUGACUGAAACUUAUCUCUUUUAGUACGAAUGUCUUCAUUUCAAAUGUUUAAAUUCAUAGAAGUAGGAUUUAGAGGAAUUUGUGAUGUCCUCUUGCACGGCAGCAGCAUCCAUUUCAUUUUGUGAUGUCCUCUAACAAGUCUAGUGACUGAAACUUGGUGACAAGUCUAGUGACUUUUGUUAUGUUUCCUCUCUUUUAUCUAAUGAAAUUCCUUGCCAAA